GGUCUCGUAGCUCAGCAGGUAGAGCUUCUGUCUCUUAAACAGAUGCGCGUCGGUUCGAUCCCGACCGGGGCCA
Molecule: transfer RNA, 73 nt
Filed under: Planctomycetaceae bacterium
Lineage: Bacteria; Pseudomonadati; Planctomycetota; Planctomycetia; Planctomycetales; Planctomycetaceae
Also listed under: 1 other name
Description: tRNA-Lys
Rfam family: tRNA
About the family: Transfer RNA (tRNA) molecules are approximately 80 nucleotides in length.
Source: RNAcentral